Long non-coding RNA from Triticum aestivum (bread wheat), 685 nucleotides. RefSeq lists it as uncharacterized. Lineage: Eukaryota; Viridiplantae; Streptophyta; Magnoliopsida; Poales; Poaceae. The record is from RefSeq and is a predicted model, not a curated record. The transcript is spliced from 2 exons.
CAUAGUCUUCAGCAUCAGGUUGGUGUCUGCACCUUUGCUCCAAAAUUGUGUAUGCCUGCCAGUUCAUGCAAAGUUAAUCUGACGUUCCCUCUAGCAUUAUAUUGAUCUUAAAAGCACAUGUAUUGUAUCAUAAUUAUAGAAUUACUGAUCCAUACCAUUAUAAUUAUUUCAGAUUCGUCACAGAUCCGUUUUCUUUUUCAUGAAGUUGGCUGGGGCUUUGGCCACAUGACAACUUUCAUUUGUAAUAUAGAAGAUAUAAAUCAGUGAAGUUGAUGUCAUACCACUCAUGUUUCAGCACUGUACGAACAAACUUUGAGAUCUAUAUUGCCAUCCCAACAGAUGAAGACAUGGAUUACAUAUUAAAAGUGCAUCAAUGUUCUGUCGUUCAACACAAUGUGUGGGUAUAUCAUUGACAACCAAUGGUUUUUUAUGCCUGAAAAAUACUUCAUCGCUGCAAUAUGAUGCAGGGCUCCUGAUUCCAUGGCGUGCCUUGGUCUUUUGGCGGGCAUAUUUAAAGUUGAGGGAUCUUUUAUUCCAUUUCAAUGUGCUCUAGAAAUCUUCUGCCGGCUCAAGUGCUCAUGUCAAAGAAUAUAGUUGUAUUUUCCUUGGAUUAUUCAUUUGCCUUGCAAUGUUGAUGGAGAAAAGGCAACCAAAUUAUUCAAGGGAUAGAGAUUGUUAACGAAUA